Molecule: long non-coding RNA, 514 nt
Organism: Artibeus jamaicensis (Jamaican fruit-eating bat)
Lineage: Eukaryota; Metazoa; Chordata; Mammalia; Chiroptera; Phyllostomidae
Exons: 3
Source: RefSeq, a predicted model, not a curated record
ACACACAAUAUGUAUAUGCAAAACAAAACAGGCCCAAAAUGGAGUUCCUUAUGCUAAACCCCAUGUCUCCAUCCAAGACUUAAUGAAAGUUUCAGCCCUUCCAGAAAUGGAAUCCUACACCAGUCAAUCAGGAGUCGCCUGGUCAGCACGAGCUCCUCAGAGCUCCUUGCUGUCUGCUCGGUGGGAUGCUGCGUGAUUCAUAAAUCGUUGAAUAAAGUGGAUGAGCCAAGAAGACAGAAAAAACUGUUUGUGGAGAAGAACCAGUCACACAAGGGUGGAUGUAGAUUUUUAAAUAACUGAAAAUUGCAGCAAAAAAUCUUCAUUAAGAUUUUCAUCACCUCAAUUUUACAAAGACUUACCAUAGUUUCAGCAAGAAAGCCCAAAUGUAAAAGAAGGUAGAUUAUUUAAAAUAGGUUUCUUUUAGGUAAUUACCUGGAGGGAACAACAACAUGGAAAGACUAUUUGGCUCAAAAGAGUUGAAAUGUUAGAAAACUCAGUACGUGCAGUAAUUGGU